UACGUAGGGGGCAAGCGUUGUCCGGAAUUAUUGGGCGUAAAGAGCGCGUAGGCGGUCCGAUAAGUCGGCUGUGAAAGUCCAGGGCUCAACCCUGGAAAGCCGGCCGAUACUGUCGGACUAGAGUCCGGAAGAGGCAAGUGGAAUUCCCGGUGUAGCAGUGAAAUGCGUAGAUAUCGGGAGGAACACCUGUGGCGAAAGCGGCGCACUGGACCACUUCUGACGCUGAGGCGCGAAAGCUAGGGGAGCAAACAGG
This 253-nucleotide ribosomal RNA is filed under the name uncultured bacterium. Its description in RNAcentral is "partial 16S ribosomal RNA". It matches the Rfam family "Bacterial small subunit ribosomal RNA", at positions 524 to 776 of the family's 1533-position model. The record is from RNAcentral.